Non-coding RNA from Nicotiana tabacum (common tobacco), 1227 nucleotides. NCBI's taxonomy places the organism in Eukaryota, Viridiplantae, Streptophyta, Magnoliopsida, Solanales, Solanaceae. The record is from RefSeq and is a predicted model, not a curated record.
AUUUUUCCAUUCUCUCUCCAAAACAGACGUUUCUUCUCCUCCCUUUCCUUUUCUUCACAAAUUCCAUUGUUGCUUAGCCAUGACAGACCUGCCAUUACCAUUUUUGAACAAGAAGCUCUGUACCUCAUUUAAUUUUAUUCAACAUCAACGUUCAAAUUUCAAAAACAUUCAAGAGCUUUUCAUUCAAUUUCGAAAUCCCGCCUAAACCAAGAACCCUAGAAAUCAGCCUAGAAAUACCCGCCUUUGAAGAGAUUUUCGACCAAGCUGAGAGCCGCCCCUUUUACCCCAAAAAUUGAAGGUCUUCGGUCGUUGCCUUCACCCGUUGAGACCAAACUUAGAGCCACCGCUCUUCCCCUCUAUAAAUUAUUCUAUGCUUAUUAACUGUUAUUCAUCUCAGAAAAGCUUCAUUCUUUUUUGACUCCACAACUAUUUCUGUUGGGUAUUUACCCUUGCAUAAAAUCGAUUAUCUUCAUUUAUUUUAGUCGAAUAUGCUUUUGUCCGAGAGGAAAGAGUGGUCUUAAAAUCAGAGUUCGAUAACGCAUCUAAGAUUCGUGCCUCGGUUCGUUGCUUCGCAACAGGGUUUGGUCAAAAAGGUGAUAAUUAGUCAAAACUAGCUCAAAAAGGUUUGAAACAUGCACAAGUACCAAGAACAAGUCAAAGCACAGUUGCAACAGACCCACCGCGUCCGCAAGCCAUUUAGUGCAGUCCGCAAUGAGGAGAUUCAGAGAGGUGCACUUUUGCAGCCUAAGGCAAUGCGGUCCGCAAUGGAUUUAUUGCGGUCGCAGUAGCCUCUUUGUGGCCGCAAUCUAUUUUGUGCAGUCCGCGGAGAAGGGGGCCCAGAGAGUUGGGUGUUUGAAGAUAAAAGCCAAUGCGGUCUGCGGUACUUUUUGUGCGGACCGCAAUUGAAGCCACCGCGGCUGUGGUGCAUUUUAUGUGGCCCGCAGUAGCCAGAUUCAGAGAGUGAAUAGUCAAUCCAAGAAGCCUCAUCGCGGUCCGCGGUGCAUUUUAUGUCGACCGCAGUACCUCGUCAGGGGUAUAUUUGUCCAGAAAAUUUGGACUAGUAUAAAUACUUUCUUUUCACAUUUUUAUGGCAUCUUUUGUAAUCUAUUAGACUCCAAAGCACGUGAACGGCUAUUUUACUCUAUUUUGAGUAAUUUGUAGCUAGAUUAACACUGAAUAUACAUUAUCUUUGACUGUAAUUAAAUCUUAUGGGUUAUUCUUCAUCUA